Molecule: RNA transcript, 3685 nt
Organism: Micropterus salmoides (largemouth bass)
Lineage: Eukaryota; Metazoa; Chordata; Actinopteri; Centrarchiformes; Centrarchidae
Gene name: phosphatidylinositol transfer protein beta isoform-like
Exons: 12
Source: RefSeq, a predicted model, not a curated record
CCGGGCGCCGAGCUCAGCAGCUCAUGACGUCAGCAGCAAUCAGCGGUCACUGGGCAGUAACGCUAGUGUCGAGAGGAACAAGCUACCAUGGUCGUCAUCAAAGAGUAUCGUGUGGUUUUACCCUGUAGUGUUGAGGAGUACCAAGUGGGGCAGCUCUUCUCAGUAGCUGAAGCAAGUAAAAAUGAGACAGGUGGUGGUGAAGGCAUUGAGGUACUCAAGAAUGAGCCCUAUGAAAAAGACGGCGAGAAGGGACAGUAUACACACAAAAUCUACCACCUGAAGAGUAAAGUCCCAGGGUUUGUGAAGCUGUUGGCCCCUGAAGGCGCCCUGGUAUUCCAUGAAAAGGCCUGGAAUGCCUACCCUUACUGCAGAACCAUUGUGACGAACGAGUAUAUGAAAGACAGUUUCUUCAUUAAGAUUGAGACAUGGCACAAACCAGACCUUGGAACACAAGAAAAUGUGCACAAACUAGACAGUUCCACAUGGCAGGAUGUAACUGUUGUGCCCAUUGACAUUGCAGACAGAAGUCAAGUGUCCGCUACUGACUACAAGCCAGAUGAGGACCCUGCCAAGUUCACGUCAGUUAAGACUGGCAGAGGACCCCUUGGACCCACCUGGAAGAAAGAGCUGGUUAGUAAGACGGACUGCCCAAGGAUGUGUGCCUACAAACUGGUCACAGUCAAGUUCAAGUGGUGGGGCCUGCAGAACAAAGUGGAGAACUUCAUCCAUGAGCAAGAGAAGAGGAUCUUCACUAACUUCCAUCGCCAGCUCUUCUGUUGGAUUGAUAAGUGGGUGGAGCUGACUAUGGAUGAUAUCCGGCGGAUGGAGGCAGAGACACAGAGGGAGCUGGAUGAGAUGCGUAAGCAGGGGUCUGUGCGAGGUACAAAGGCUGCAGACGAGUAGCCAGGCCAGGUGUAGGUCUGAGUUUUGCUGUGUAAGUUCUCACUAGUAGAGCUUCGCAAACAGGGUGAAAUACGAGGAACCAGUGCUGCAGACGAAUGAAAAGGCAAAGGAUUUAAAACACCCAGCAAUGGAGACCGCUAAGAGGGCUCCUUUGGUGCCGCUUUUUUACCUGAACUGAUUCAGGCUGUGGAGGUGGGGGGGGGGGACUCUGCUACCUGCAAUCAAUAGAGCGGAUCCCUGACUUGCACCCAAUCAUAGACAUUCUAUACACUGAGGAAUUGAUUUCUAGAAACCAACACGAUCCUAGCUGAUAAGACUCUGGUUAACUUUGAUCUCCUGGGCAGAGGAAGGCCAGCUAUCAGCAUCAUGUUAUUGACAAGACCUAGCCCCCUGGAGAGAUAUGAAGAGGAGCUGCUUGCAGUAGAGAUGCAUUUUUACAAAAGCAAAUUCCUCGGCUUGAUUCCACAGUGGCAGGUGUUGGACCAAAUAUGUCCCCUGUUUUAUUUUGAUUUUCCUUGUUUGUUAAAGUUGUCUCCAAAACAUUCCUCUCAAGAUGAUGCCCCGUCUGACCUCUCUUUGUCUCCUCCUUGGUUUUAACUGUACACACUGGCUCAGUGGUUUGCAUUCCCCAGCAUGAGUCUGUCUGUUUGUCAUACUCAUGUUCCUUCCUGCCACAGCCUCCAUUAAGAGAUUACUAACACCCUUGGCGCCUUGGCCCAUUGUAAUCCCCACCUCACCCAAAGCACUGCAUCUUAUUAACACUGACAAUCAUGCCCGUACAGGUAUUCUCUCACACACAGAUUUAAUAACCCCCCCCCCCUAUACACACACACACACACACACACACACACACACACACACGCACACACACACUUAACACAUAUACAUCGUGCACAUGAAGAUAAACAUGUGAAUUCAUUGUCUCACACACACACACACACACACACACACACACAGGUGUGGAUGCCUUUGCGGUGACUGAUCUCUUUAAAAGCGCAAGUUGGGCAGAUCCAUGCAAGCUCGUUCAGCUAAAGGAUGUUACUUUGGAAGUGUUUACAGCUCUCACUGAUCGCCCCCCCCCCCCCCCUUUCUGUAGACAUUCACACGUAACAUUCAACACAGCAUUCACCUUCCUAACAGAUGUCCCCAGAGAAAAACUGCACUGAAAAACAGCCACAGAUGGUGCUACACCCCUCCAGCCUCUGUCACAAGCCAAACUGCACCGUGCAACUCGCCGCACCUCACCCAGCCCACCCUUGAGGCCUGUCUCACUCUUGUGGUUAUCCGAGGUACACCCUUUCUAAAAGGCCUCUUCUUCAGCUUCAUUCUAGGUGUGUUUACAGCUCCAUAGCAGCCUUACCAGUGCCCAGUGGACACCAGCACCACACACCAUUUGCCUUAAUCUCUCGACCGUUAUACCUAUUGUACCUCUGCUGCCAGCUAUUGCUCUAGCUACCUCCUUUUGUUUCUGACUGGCAAUGUUCCUAACACCUAGAGCUUAGCACCAGCUAUUAGCUGCUACUUGUUAGGAGUAAAUCAUGGCACACAGAGCUUUAUGAGCAAAGUUGUUUGUGAUGACUCUUUAUUUUCUUCAGGGAAUUGUCUGUUAUUCCCUUUUUAUGUUUCCUGGUAUGUGUUGCAGCACGUGAGCAAGUGCAAUUCCUUCAGCAAGCAAAACAAAUGUGUAAGUUGCAGCCAGACUGGCCUGUACACUAUUGUUGCUGCAAACGGCUGCAGAUUUACGUCUUUGCCUCAGAUCAGCCGUUGGAUGGAUAUGCCUCAUUAAUGACAUUAGACUUUUCAGUUCCACGGUGCACUUUCUCCCACUUAGGUUUCAGAAUCAUGUGGCACUGGCCUGCAGUGUUGAUCAUCACUAGUGUUGCUUACAGUAUAUAGCACAAGUGGUUUCCUCAUUUGAUCUUUCUGUGGUGUGUCAAAGUCUAUUUGUUUUUAUAGAUGUUUCCUUUCAACACAUAAAUGUAAUGAAAUACUCUGGGUUCAAAGAUCCUAAUGUUUUUAUUUCCUGUAAACUGUAUGAGGGGAAUGUGAUCACUUCCUCUGUAAUGGGUUAUUAGCUUGUCCAAAGAGUGUGCAUGGAUUUCUGAUAUGUUUACAUUGAUUCAGAAAUGGUGAUCUGGUGUAAUAGGAAAAUUAGGAAGCCAUUAUCUGAGGCAUAAUUUUUAUUACAACAAAAUCUUCUCAGGUGAACAGUUGGACACAAGGAUAUUUUUGAUAUUGUUGCUCAUCAGUUGCCCUCUACAGUUGACUUCUUUUCAUUAUACCAUAUUCUUUUCUGUGGGACACGUGGUUGUAAUAUACGGUUGCCUUUUCCAUUUAUGGUAGUAUAUGAGACAGCCAGUUGCUUUUUGUUACUGUACUGGGAUUGUAUGCGUACGUCUCAAAGAGCGAAAACAAUUGGUCUUCAGUGUAAUCGAUGUUUCCAAGUACAUUUUGAAUGAUUCCUGCUGUCUGUUGAAUAGAAAAGCCUGAGACUUAAAUUGAACAACCUAAAUCAAUUGUUUACUAAUUGUCAAGACAGUUAUAUGGGGGAGAGGAAGUAUUCACAAAGCAACUGUACAGUCUAAUCGUAAUUUAUUAAAUCUACAACUCUUUCAUUUCUAAACUGCGACUCGCUUUUAAAUGUUUCUGAUCAGCUUUUGAAAUUCAGGGCUACAUGGUAGUGAAUGUAUGACAUUUUGUGCCUUUCUGUAGAUCUUUUUGUUCAUUAAGUCUACAUCUUGUAUCUAAAUAUCAAAUAAAUUUGUUUGGGAAAUACAUUGCA